AUGAACGCUGGCGGCGUGCCUAAUACAUGCAAGUCGAGCGAACGGACGAGAAGCUUGCUUCUCUGAUGUUAGCGGCGGACGGGUGAGUAACACGUGGAUAACCUACCUAUAAGACUGGGAUAACUUCGGGAAACCGGAGCUAAUACCGGAUAAUAUUUUGAACCGCAUGGUUCAAAAGUGAAAGACGGUCUUGCUUUCACUUAUAGAUGGAUCCGCGCUGCAUUAGCUAGUUGGUAAGGUAACGGCUUACCAAGGCAACGAUGCAUAGCCGACCUGAGAGGGUGAUCGGCCACACUGGAACUGAGACACGGUCCAGACUCCUACGGGAGGCAGCAGUAGGGAAUCUUCCGCAAUGGGCGAAAGCCUGACGGAGCAACGCCGCGUGAGUGAUGAAGGUCUUCGGAUCGUAAAACUCUGUUAUUAGGGAAGAACAUAUGUGUAAGUAACUGUGCACAUCUUGACGGUACCUAAUCAGAAAGCCACGGCUAACUACGUG
This 496-nucleotide ribosomal RNA is filed under the name uncultured bacterium. Its description in RNAcentral is "partial 16S ribosomal RNA". It matches the Rfam family "Bacterial small subunit ribosomal RNA", at positions 29 to 507 of the family's 1533-position model. The record is from RNAcentral.